RNAcentral lists this ribosomal RNA (220 nucleotides) under uncultured bacterium. Its description in RNAcentral is "partial 16S ribosomal RNA". It matches the Rfam family "Bacterial small subunit ribosomal RNA", at positions 57 to 305 of the family's 1533-position model. The record is from RNAcentral.
GCAAGUCGAGCGCGCCCUUCGGGUGGAGUGGCGGACGGGUUAGUAACGCGUGGGAACACACCCUUUUCUAUGGAAUAGCCUCGGGAAACUGAGAGUAAUACCAUAUACGCCCUUCGUGGGAAAGAUUUAUCGGUGAAGGAUUGGCCCGCGUUGGAUUAGGUAGUUGGUGGGGUAAUGGCCUACCAAGCCGACGAUCCAUAGCUGGUUUGAGAGGAUGAUC